This 253-nucleotide ribosomal RNA is filed under the name uncultured bacterium. RNAcentral describes it as "partial 16S ribosomal RNA". It matches the Rfam family "Bacterial small subunit ribosomal RNA", at positions 524 to 776 of the family's 1533-position model. The record is from RNAcentral.
GACAGAGGGUGCAAACGUUGUUCGGAAUUACUGGGCGUAAAGCGCGUGUAGGCGGCUCGGAAAGUCGGGUGUGAAAGCCCUGGGCUUAACCCAGGAAGUGCACUCGAAACUUCCGAGCUGGAGUCCUGGAGAGGAAGGCGGAAUUCUCGGUGUAGAGGUGAAAUUCGUAGAUAUCGAGAGGAACACCGGUGGCGAAGGCGGCCUUCUGGACAGUGACUGACGCUGAAACGCGAAAGCGUGGGGAGCAAACAGG